Molecule: ribosomal RNA, 599 nt
Filed under: Sporobolomyces pararoseus
Lineage: Eukaryota; Fungi; Basidiomycota; Microbotryomycetes; Sporidiobolales; Sporidiobolaceae
Description: eukaryotic LSU rRNA
Rfam family: 5.8S ribosomal RNA (bases 178-331)
Source: RNAcentral
UCCGUAGGUGAACCUGCGGAAGGAUCAUUAUUGAAAACAAGGGUGUCCAAUUUAACUUGGAACCCAAACUUCUCAAUUCUAACUUUGUGCAUCUGUAUUAAUGGCGAGCAACUUCGGUUGUGAGCCUUCACUUACAAAACACUAGUCUAUGAAUGUAAAAUUUUUAUAACAAAUAAAAACUUUCAACAACGGAUCUCUUGGCUCUCGCAUCGAUGAAGAACGCAGCGGAAUGCGAUACGUAAUGUGAAUUGCAGAAUUCAGUGAAUCAUCGAAUCUUUGAACGCAUCUUGCGCUCUCUGGUAUUCCGGAGAGCAUGUCUGUUUGAGUGUCAUGAAUUCUUCAAUCCAAUCUUUUCUUGUAAUCGAUUGGUGUUUGGAUUCUGAGCGUUGCUGGCGUUUGCCUAGCUCGUUCGUAAUACAUUAGCAUCCCUAAUACAAGUUUGGAUUGACUUGGCGUAAUAGACUAUUCGCUAAGGAUUCGGUGGAAACAUCGAGCCAACUUCAUUAAGGAAGCUCCUAAUUUAAAAGUCUACCUUUUGAUUAGAUCUCAAAUCAGGCAGGAUUACCCGCUGAACUUAAGCAUAUCAAUAAGCGGAGGAA